RNAcentral lists this ribosomal RNA (497 nucleotides) under uncultured bacterium. Its description in RNAcentral is "partial 16S ribosomal RNA". It matches the Rfam family "Bacterial small subunit ribosomal RNA", at positions 28 to 507 of the family's 1533-position model. The record is from RNAcentral.
GAUGAACGCUGGCGGCGUGCCUAAUACAUGCAAGUCGAGCGAACGGACGAGAAGCUUGCUCCUCUGAUGUUAGCGGCGGACGGGUGAGUAACACGUGGAUAACCUACCUAUAAGACUGGGAUAACUUCGGGAAACCGGAGCUACUACCGGAUAAUAUUUUGAACCGCAUGGUUCAAAAGUGAAAGACGGUCUUGCUGUCACUAAUAGAUGGAUCCGCGCUGCAUUAGCUAGUUGGUAAGGUAACGGCUUACCAAGGCAACGAUGCAUAGCCGACCUGAGAGGGUGAUCGGCCACACUGGAACUGAGACACGGUCCAGACUCCUACGGGAGGCAGCAGUAGGGAAUCUUCCGCAAUGGGCGAAAGCCUGACGGAGCAACGCCGCGUGAGUGAUGAAGGUCUUCGGAUCGUAAAGCUCUGUUAUUAGGAAAGAACAUAUGUGUAAGUAACUGUGCACAUCUUGACGGUACCUAAACAAAAAGCCACGGCUAACUCCGUG